GAGUUUGAUCCUGGCUCAGAUUGAACGCUGGCGGCAUGCUUUACACAUGCAAGUCGAACGGUAACAGGGAGCUUGCUCCGCUGACGAGUGGCGAACGGGUGAGUAAUGCAUCGGAACGUGCCGUGUAAUGGGGGAUAACGUAGCGAAAGUUACGCUAAUACCGCAUACGCCCUGAGGGGGAAAGUGGGGGACCGCAAGGCCUCACGUUAUACGAGCGGCCGAUGUCGGAUUAGCUAGUUGGUGGGGUAAAGGCCUACCAAGGCGACGAUCCGUAGCGGGUCUGAGAGGAUGAUCCGCCACACUGGGACUGAGACACGGCCCAGACUCCUACGGGAGGCAGCAGUGGGGAAUUUUGGACAAUGGGGGCAACCCUGAUCCAGCCAUGCCGCGUGAGUGAAGAAGGCCUUCGGGUUGUAAAGCUCUUUCAGGUGGAAAGAAAUCGCAUCUUUUAAUACAGGGUGUGGAUGACGGUACCAUCAGAAGAAGCACCGGCUAACUACGUGCCAGCAGCCGCGGUAAUCCC
This 523-nucleotide ribosomal RNA is filed under the name uncultured bacterium. RNAcentral's name for it is "bacterial SSU rRNA". It matches the Rfam family "Bacterial small subunit ribosomal RNA", at positions 9 to 527 of the family's 1533-position model. The record is from RNAcentral.